UUGCGGGGGGCUCACAUCAUGU
This 22-nucleotide microRNA is filed under the name Branchiostoma lanceolatum (amphioxus). RNAcentral's name for it is "Bla-Mir-4872-P10b_5p (mature (guide))". The record is from RNAcentral. Lineage: Eukaryota; Metazoa; Chordata; Leptocardii; Amphioxiformes; Branchiostomatidae.